This 738-nucleotide ribosomal RNA is filed under the name Triticum aestivum (bread wheat). RNAcentral's name for it is "partial small subunit ribosomal RNA". The record is from RNAcentral. Lineage: Eukaryota; Viridiplantae; Streptophyta; Magnoliopsida; Poales; Poaceae.
AUGGAUGCCAUGGCCUUAGUUCGAAAGUAUGGCAAGCCAGACGUCUUACUCACAAUGACAUGCAACUCAAACUGGGAUGAGAUUAGGCAAGAACUCUACCCCGGUCAAACACCUGAGGAUCGUCCAGAUCUUGUUGUUCGUGUUUUCAGGGCAAAGUUGGAGGAACUCAAGAAUAAGUUGCUUCAGAAGGACAUCCCGGGCAAGGGGAGGUACAAGCUCACAUGGCCCGAGCAAUAUGACCGUCUUAUCUCAGCCGAGCUCCCAAACAAGAAGAAGUACCCAAAACUAUACAAGAUGGUUGUGAAGCAUAUGAUGCAUGGACCUUCUGGUAUAGAUGAGAUCAAACAGUAUACAGAUGCUACGUGGGUGACUCCUCCGGAAUCAUUAUGGAGGAUAUAUGGCUUUAAAUUGAGCAAGAACUCACCACUUGUGAAUAAGUUGCAACUCCAUCUGCCCAACAUGCGCAUGGUGUCAUUCAAAAAGGGCCAAGAUAUCGAACGAGUGGUUAACCAGGAAGGUGCUGAGAAGUCAAUGCCUACAGAGUACUUUGAGGCAAAUAGGUUACAUGAGGAGGCUCGGUCUAUCUUGUAUAGGGACUUCCCUGAGUGGUAUACCUGGCAGACAAGUAAGAAAAAUAAAUAUUGGAGAAGAAGGGAACGAGAUAUAGGUGGACAAGUUGGAAGAAUUAUGGCAGCUCAUCCCACGGAGGUGAACGCUAUUAGCUACGGGUCCCCUUAA